This 254-nucleotide ribosomal RNA is filed under the name uncultured bacterium. RNAcentral describes it as "partial 16S ribosomal RNA". It matches the Rfam family "Bacterial small subunit ribosomal RNA", at positions 524 to 776 of the family's 1533-position model. The record is from RNAcentral.
UACGAAGGGGGCUAGCGUUGUUCGGAUUUACUGGGCGUAAAGCGCACGUAGGCGCCUGAUAAGUCGGGUGUGAAAGCCCUGGGCUCAACCCAGGAAGUGCACUCGAAACUGUCAGGCUUGAAUAUGGAAGAGGGUCGCGGAAUUCCCGGUGUAGAGGUGAAAUUCGUAGAUAUCGGAAGGAACACCAGUGGCGAAAAGCGGCUUCCUGGACCAGCACCGACAUUCAGGCACGAAAAGCGUGGGGAGCAAACAGG